Molecule: ribosomal RNA, 353 nt
Filed under: uncultured eukaryote
Lineage: Eukaryota
Description: partial 18S ribosomal RNA
Rfam family: Eukaryotic small subunit ribosomal RNA
Source: RNAcentral
CAAUAGCGUAUAUUAUUGAUGUUGCAGUUGAAACGUUCGUAGUCGAAUCUUAUCUGCCAAAGCAUUGUGUCAUUUAUGAUGACAUAAUGCUUGUACAAACGUUUGCAUGUGUUUCACAUGUCUGACCUUGUAUCUUACUUUGAGUGAAUCGGCGUGUUCCACGCAGGCAUGUGCCUUGAACGAUUUACCAUAGCAUAAUCAGAGUAUGGAACUGCUUCCUUGUUUGUUCGGAAGCUCUUUCGAUACUGAUAGGAACGGUUGAGGGCAUUCGUAUUCGACUGCUAGAGGUGAAAUUCUUUGAUUAGUCGAGGACGAACCAUUGCGAAAGCAUCUGCCAAGGACAUUUCCUUUGA